GAUGAACGCUGGCGAUAGGCUUAACACAUGCAAGUCGAGGGGCAGCAUAUUCGAAGCUUGCUUUGAAUGAUGGCGACCGGCGCACGGGUGCGUAACGCGUAUGUAACCUGCCCGUCAGAAGGGGAUAACCCGGUGAAAGUCGGGCUAAUACCCUGUAUGCUCACGAGAGGCGCCUGCCUUGGUGAGGAAAGAUUUAUCACUGACAGAUGGACAUGCGUCCCAUUAGCUGGUUGGUAUGGUAACGGCCUACCAAGGCAACGAUGGGUAGGGAACUGAGAGGUUUAUCCCCCACAUUGGUACUGAGGCACGGACCAA
This 315-nucleotide ribosomal RNA is filed under the name uncultured bacterium. RNAcentral's name for it is "bacterial SSU rRNA". It matches the Rfam family "Bacterial small subunit ribosomal RNA", at positions 28 to 334 of the family's 1533-position model. The record is from RNAcentral.